Molecule: ribosomal RNA, 494 nt
Filed under: uncultured bacterium
Lineage: Bacteria
Description: partial 16S ribosomal RNA
Rfam family: Bacterial small subunit ribosomal RNA
Source: RNAcentral
GAUGAACGCUGGCGGCGUGCCUAAUACAUGCAAGUAGAACGCUGAAGGAGGAGCUUGCUCUUCUGGAUGAGUUGCGAACGGGUGAGUAACGCGUAGGUAACCUGCCUGGUAGCGGGGGAUAACUAUUGGAAACGAUAGCUAAUACCGCAUGACAACAGUUAUUGCAUGAUAACUGUUUAAAAGGGGCAACUGCUCCACUACCAGAUGGACCUGCGUUGUAUUAGCUAGUUGGUGAGGUAACGGCUCACCAAGGCGACGAUACAUAGCCGACCUGAGAGGGUGAUCGGCCACACUGGGACUGAGACACGGCCCAGACUCCUACGGGAGGCAGCAGUAGGGAAUCUUCGGCAAUGGACGGAAGUCUGACCGAGCAACGCCGCGUGAGUGAAGAAGGUUUUCGGAUCGUAAAGCUCUGUUGCAAGAGAAGAACGAGUGUGAGAGUGGAAAGUGCACACUGUGACGGUAUCUUACCAGAAAGGGACGGCUAACUACGU